UAUGGCUCAGGAUGAACGCUGGCGGCGUACCUAACGCAUGCAAGUCGAACGGGGAUUGGGAGCAAUCUUGAUCCGAGUGGCAAACGGGUGAGUAACACGUGGGUAACCUACCCCGGAGUGGGGAAUAACGACCCGAAAGGGUCGCUAAUACCGCAUAAUCCCGGAAGGGGAAAGAUGCAAAUCGCUCUGGGACGGGCCUGCGGCCCAUCAGGUAGUUGGGGAGGUAACGGCCCCCCAAGCCGAUGACGGGUAGCUGAUCUGAGAGGAUGACCAGCCACACUGGCACUGAUACACGGGCCAGACUCCUACGGGAGGCAGCAGCGAGGAAUAUUGCGCAAUGGGCGCAAGCCUGACGCAGUAACGCCGCGUGCGGGAAGAAGGCCUUCGGGUCGUAAACCGCUUUUUGGAGGGACGAGACAGGACGGUACCUCUAGAAUAAGUCUCGGCUAACUACGUGCCAGCAGCCGCGGUAAAACGUAGGAGGCGAGCGUUAUCCGGAUUCACUGGGCGUAAAGCGCGUGUAGGCGGUUCGGCAAGUCGAUUGUGAAAGCCUCUGGCUCAACUGGGGGAGGUCAGUCGAAACUGCGGGACUGGAGGGUCACAGAGGAAGGUGGAAUUCCCGGUGUAGCGGUGGAAUGCGUAGAGAUCGGGAGGAACACCAGUGGCGAAAGCGGCCUUCUGGGUGAUCACUGACGCUGAGACGCGAAAGCGUGGGUAGCAAACGGGAUUAGAUACCCCGGUAGUCCACGCCCUAAACGAUGCGGGCUAGGUGUUGGCAAGAUUUCUUGUCCGUGCCGUAGCAAACGCGUUAAGCCCGCCGCCUGGGGACUACGAGCGCAAGCUUAAACUCAAAU
Molecule: ribosomal RNA, 854 nt
Filed under: uncultured bacterium
Lineage: Bacteria
Description: bacterial SSU rRNA
Rfam family: Bacterial small subunit ribosomal RNA
Source: RNAcentral